UAGGGAAUCUUCGGCAAUGGACGAAAGUCUGACCGAGCAACGCCGCGUGAGUGAAGAAGGUUUUCGGAUCGUAAAACUCUGUUGUUAGAGAAGAACAAGGACGUUAGUAACUGAACGUCCCCUGACGGUAUCUAACCAGAAAGCCACGGCUAACUACGUGCCAGCAGCCGCGGUAAUACGUAGGUGGCAAGCGUUGUCCGGAUUUAUUGGGCGUAAAGCGAGCGCAGGCGGUUUCUUAAGUCUGAUGUGAAAGCCCCCGGCUCAACCGGGGAGGGUCAUUGUAAACUGGGAGACUUGGGUGCAGAGGAGGGGAGUGGAAUUCCAUGUGUGGCGGUGAAAUGCGUAGAUGUAUGGAGGAACGCCAGUGGCGAAGGCGGCUGUCUGGUCUGUAACUGACGCUGGGGCUCGAAAGCGUGGGGAGCAAACAGG
Molecule: ribosomal RNA, 429 nt
Filed under: Gemmatimonadota bacterium
Lineage: Bacteria; Pseudomonadati; Gemmatimonadota
Description: Gemmatimonadetes bacterium partial 16S ribosomal RNA
Rfam family: Bacterial small subunit ribosomal RNA
Source: RNAcentral